CCCAGGCCCCAGCCCCCACCCGGACAAACCCUAGCCUCACCAAGCCCCACAUCUCGCGCUCCUCCCUCCUCCAUCCUCGUUAGCCGCCGCCGCCGCCGUUCUGCCUCCCUCCUCUCUCCCCUACAACCACGUCGCUGGGAGGAAGCCGCCGUUCGUGUCGCCAUGCCGCUGCCGGGGUGUUGCGCACGCUUCGUUCCCCACAGCCCCUCCCUCAUCCCCGCUCAUCACCGCCGCUGCCUGCUACUCCCGGGGCGGCCGAGCGCCAACGGUGCGGCAAUGGCUGUUCCAGGAGGCGAGGGCGAGGGCACGGGCGUUGGGCGUUGGGUGCGUGGACAAGGAGGGAGGAGUCAACUUGAGGGAGGAGAUGAGAGAGGUGAGGGUUGGCAGCGAUUGCAGGGAGAGGAGGAGGAGUCUGGAGGCAACGGACGAUUUUUUUAGGGUGGUUGGCGACCUACAGCCUACAGGCAACGGUGAGCUCUCCCUUUCCCUGACUACGCUCCUCUCUCACAUCAGAUCGAAUCGGACCCCUGAUUUCUUUUUCUGUUUGAUUCAGUCUGUAGCAGCAGCAGGCGACCUGCAGCAGCUCCUUCCUACCUUCCAUGGACGAGCUCUUCGGAGACGCCGUCCAGCCCGACCACGGCCACGACUACCCCACGCACAAGGUCCCUUCCUGCUCCCCCACCUUCUUCCAUGGAUCAAGACGCUACAUACACUGCUGCUGCUGUUUUUCAAAUGAAUGAACGAAACUUCCUUCCUUAUUUCUAGAGGAAGGUUGAUUCAUUUGUCAAAUUCAUUCCACCGAAGCCAUCUGCUCCGUCCACCAACCCGCCCAGAAAGGUAGUUACAGUGAAUUGAUGUUCGCACUGAGGCCGGAGGCGAGAGGCGAGGGCACGGAGGUCGGUGGCAAGUGCUCAGGAGAGAAGAGGAAGGCGGCGGCGCUGGGCGGUGGCUGCGGUUUACAUGAGAGGGAGGUGACCCGCCCAGAAAGGUAGUUACAGUGAAUUGAUGUUCAUAUGAACUUCAAUGAUGUGAACUUUUUAUUAGAUCUGAGUUGCAAUCCUCAAUUUUUUUAGGUUUGAGUAGCAAUGCUCCUGCUCUACUAGCUAUGACAUUUUCCAUGCUUUUUCUUCUAAUAUCGUAUAGCGUCCAUGCUUGUGGGUUCAACUUGACGAGCUUUUUUCACCUUCCAUCCUGUUUUAAGCUCUGUUGAUGGAUGAUUUCUGCCAUAUUUAUGGAGGGGGAGGACGCCAACUACUAGGAGAAGGAUCAGUUUAGCAAGUACAGGAUGUAAUUCUCUUAUGAUUAUGGGUAGAUGCCUGCUUUAUUUAGUUACCAGAGUUGUUCACUAUUGAAUAUGCAAAUUCAACAUCCUUUAUAUAAUGGGAUCUUAUGAACUCUUUUUGAAGAUUGCUGAGAAGCGCAACCUUUUGAUCUUCGAGAAGCGCAACCUUUUGAUCUUCGAGAACCGCAAGUUUGCUGACAUUGAAAACACAUUCAUUAUGCAAGAUGAAUGGUGAGAAAUGUGUUAUUCCCUAUCCUUCCAUUCUAUUUGCAUAUUCGCGCAGUAUGCUUAGUUUUUUCCUUUCAAGAUGAAUAUUCUACACAUGAGAGCAAUAUACUUGGUAUUAUUCAUGCUCAUAUAAUUCCUGGACCUGGAAUUGUUGAUGGCUUGAGGCUUAAAGUAUGUUAUGUGUUGCAUACCUAAUAAAUAUUAGCAAGCUAAUGUUGCAGCUUGACAGAUGCUGUGAUAACUUCUCCUUUUUCUGUUUGUUAAUAUCCACUUCGAACUGAGCAGCCAUGAUCCGGAUUUCCUCUAUGUAGCUAUGAGAUGCAUGCAGUUCGUUAUUGUGUAUCGUGUGCUAAAACAUUGAUUAUUUGACAAUGAACACAUGGCAAUGCCUUAACUAUUCAACUUGCCUAGCUCAGUAUUUUAACCAAUAGAGAAGUUUUUUUGUUGCUUUCCCUUUUGUUAGAUAUUUUGCUUUUUGUAUGUUGAGGGGAGAUGGAUAUGGCCUCAGGACUAAACGCACAAACCACAUGAAGUGAUCUGAUGGUAGGUAAAGUAUUUUUAUUGGCAAUGCUAAUGUCUGGACCAGCUCAAUGGUUUUAACUCUAUGAUGUUCUGUUUAACAUAUCACAUGUACAAAUGCAUAUAUACAAAUUGUGGUAGGCAACUCACUAUUUAGACGACACGACUAUUCUCUUGAUAAGGAGAGUCCCACCAUACUCAUGUGAGAGUUAGGCGUGGUAGUGGGUAGUGUUUUCUCAUCAUCCAUUAUGUGUUUCUUCUGUCUAGCUCGAAGUUGCUUAGUUAGAUAAUGAUUCGCAAAUUCCAGCAUUGCAUGUUGCCUGACACUUUUGCAUUAGCAUUGAAUUGCAUCCUGCAUUUUUGCAGCCCGCGAGGCGUGUAAAUGUUGGACUAUUGUUUCUCCGCUGAUGCACAUGUUUCGCCACAGAGACAGUACUCUGUGUGUGUGUGAUCUCUGGAAUUAGUUUUUAUGUUUCUCUUUGUUGAGUACUUUUGUAAUCUCCACGGGUGUGUUUCGUAUUUUCUAUGUAUCCUCUGUCAUUCUUUUAAGUGUUUAAUGUUUUCUUUUGUAGUUUUGAUAUUUAGGUGCAGUCACGUUUCAUUUGUCGCAUACCUGCACCCGUUAGGAAAAUCAUAGUUUCAUUUCAAUCAUGUUUCUUUAAGUUGUUCAGUGUUUGUUCAUUAUGUAGUAGAGUAAGCAGUACAUUCUGUCCAUCAGUUAAAUCACUCAUGUCACAUUCAGUUGAUUGAUUAGGUUUAGUUUUUGUUCAUUUCUCUUUGUUCCUUCAGUUUUUUGUUCCUUUAUUUAGUCAUUGUGCUUGCAUCAUUUGCCAGUAUUUUAGUCCAUCUCAAUAGACCCCUAUGAUUCUUGAUAGUUUAUCUCUUUCGUAGAUCAGACUUUUCCACUUUGUUAGUUAGGCUAAUUUAUGCUUUUUUCAGUUUUUAGUCUUUACAUGAUUUAGUUGGACAAUGUUUUUGGUAUUUCAAUAGUUCAGUAGUUUCAUACUUUCAUUUAAUUAAAUAGUCUUGUUUUUAGUCUCAGUACUUCAGGUUUAGUUUCCAAACAAGUACUUUUUUACUCAUGUGGGUUUCGGUCUUUUGACUAUAUGUGGUUUUCAAUCUUUUCAUCUCUUGGUUUACUUGUCAUUCUUAAUUUAUCCGCCUUACUAUUCUCAGUCUUGUUUUUUAUUGAGAGACACAACCUUUUCAAUACACUUCUAUUUUAAUUUUUCAUAACAACGGCUGUUUUUUUGUUGCAACUUUGACUCUAUGCUAUUAAAGUAAACCAAGUAUAUUAAAAUAAACCAACUAUAUUCAUAUAUGCCUCAGUAAUUGGUACAGCCGAUUUUUAUCGAGAGAGACAACAUUUCAAAACACUUAUAUCUUCAUUUUUCAUACCAACGAAUAUUUUUUGUGCUGACAUGUGAGUUAAUUAUUUGGAAAAAAUAUAAUCAUGUAUGUAUUGCCAACAAUUUUUAUGUUUAAAGCAACCAAUUUUGUGAAAAGAGUGGAGAGAAAGAUACAUGUGCAAUUUCUCGAUGUUACAGCGGAUGGAUGCUAGAUCUUUAAACAUAAGCACAGAUGAAUAGGUACAAAUUCGAGGAAAGGCCAAUGAAAUAGUUGUCUGUACACAUAUGUGCCAGUUUUAUACCUGGUUGUCUGGUUGCAUUAUUUGUCCGGUUUCAAUUCAGUUUGAGUAGAUUGUUAUCCGUGAGCGAUACUUGCCACUAUUUGUACCCAUGCACCAAUUUACAUACCUAUUUUAGGCACAGAAACCAACCAUGACUGAAAAUUAUGUAUAUAUAAUUUACUAUGAUUCAUGGUGAGAAAAUCAUGAUUUAAUAAACGAAAGGUGGUUUGUUUUGCUAACAGUACUGAGUAUAAAUGUAAAUCGCAGAUCGUACGCUGCUGCUACGGGCUCCAUGUUGUUUAUGCUAGACAACACAAUGGUGCUUGUGUUAUCUAUAGUUGAAGUCGCAGUUUAAUAUUCUUUGCUUUAUGCUUGUGUUAUAUGUGGUUGAAGGGACAUCCUUGUUAGUUUGCAUGGUCUAUGUAAGAAGGGGCAGUACAAUGCUUCUCAAGGUUGUUUAUAUUUUGAUGGCUGUUGAAUUCUGGACAAUGGAGAUGUGAAUUUGUUACGUACAUAGGUACUAGGCAUAGGAUACUUUACUCAUUGAUGACAUGUAGUUUUAGAGAACUUCUAAAAAUUCCAAUUCAGGUUUUCUGUGUUCCAUUCAGGAAGAACGCAUAGUCUGCACUGGGGUAUAAAAUUAUCUACUACUUACCUUUGUGUCUCGACAUAUGAUUGUGAUGCAUCGUGCUGCCAGAGGCCAACAUUAUCCAGUAUCAUAGCGAUGCUAAAAAUGACUAUUGGUUACUCCGCAUAUUCUCAUCUGAUUUCUCAUAUAUAGAUAUUAAUUUCCUUUCAUGGGAGGCCUUCAUUACAUUUCAGCGGCGGUUGCGGAUGUGAUUGGCGGUUGAGGGAGGGUCUCCGACUAGAGCAGCAGGAGCAAGGUGCUCGAGGAAGUUCAGGUUUGCCUCUAAAUCCUCUCUCUUUCCUCCACUUUGUUCUUGCAUUUAGAUGAUACAAUUUGUGAUCAUGUGUAUGUGCAUUUAUGAGAUCUUUGCUGCUAGGCACAGAGUUUAUGGUUACUGAAAUUGGGUAAUAAAACAUGGUUGUUGUGCCUUUUUUCCUUGUUCUUUUUAAAUGCAACAUGACAGUAGCCAAUGUCAUAUAUCAGGGUUGUAAACCUAUUAGAUUUGGGACAGAGGAAAGUAUGAAGAUCUUCUUAUUAUUGCAAAGUAAAAGUUGAUAUUAGUGCCAACUUAGGUGAUCUGGUCCGAAGGGGUAUCUCAGCUUUAUGAGUUGAUAGUAUAUUUGCAUCUAAGAAUAAACCUUAGCUUUUAGAUAGAAUUUAUGAGUGAAAGUAUUCUGGUGUAUACCAUCCUUUGUGCAGGAUUGUCAUGGUUAUUGUGUAUGUCAAUUUUGUUGACAAAAUAGAUCCAAAUGAUAUCUUUUUCAGUGUCUUAUGGUAGAUAUAUUUGGUCUACUGUUUCAUGCAUUCUUCGGCUUUAUGAUUAAUAUUCCCAGAUAUUUGAACAAAAUUUAGCUAUUAAAUAUACAUCCCAGGAAAUUUACAUUAUUAUAGUGGGGCACUCCUUUGCACGGUUUUCAGUAUAAGAGAUUUAACCUUUUUUGCAGUAUCAUUCUCCCUGACGGAUUACAUGUAGGUUGUUGUUCUAAUUACAAGCAUGCUUUCAGCUCAUGGUUCUUAUAUUUUUGUAUUUUCCAUAGGACAAUUUUCUGGAUUAAUAUCUAUACUGGAGAUCUAGGAGUCCACCCGAAUUCAGUCUCCAAGAAGCCGUUCAUCCAGGAUCCACCAAAGUUCAAAUGAUAUGUGAAAAGCGUGUGCUAGAUGUGGCCCCUAUCCAGCGUUUUGACCGGUCCACUCAGGUGCUUUUGUCUAGGUGGUAACACAACAAGCUGCUUAUAUUAUAGAAACUUAUUAUACGUACAUUCGUAUGUUCAUUCUGCUUGCAUGUUAGAGAAAGAGCUUCUGCCCCUAUGUGAGUAAUCCUAUGGGAAUUAGCAACGUUGGUUGUACUUUCAAGCGGGCUGAAUCUAAUGCAAGUUUUUGGAGCAGUUGGGUUCCAGAACAAACGACUAGGUAUUCCCAAAGAGGUCAUUCCACUGGUGGCUAGCAUAAUAUCUUCAUGUCGGGACAAGUAAGAUGACAUAUCAUUUCUUAAAUAAUAUGCCGCUGUUCUCAAUUUUUAUUUCCUCUUCUUUUCUGCUACUUGCCUCACUAACUAUGACCUCAACGAUCUUUGGUGCAGCGAUCCAAGCAAGCAACCAUCAUUCUACCAGCUCUUGUCAUCGCUGAAGAAAUUACAGUGGUUACAUUGUUACAGAAAGCCUAUGACAAUUUGCGAGUGUUUGUGCAAUAUACUGGUUUUAUGGCAGGUGCAUGUAUGAAUUCAGAUGGUAGUGGUCUCCUUGUUUAUAGUUAUAAGAAUAAUAAAAAUAUUGAUAAUGGUCUUUCCACUAUUACAAUCUCAUAGAUUACAUUACCUGCUUCCAUUAGAAAGGAAUUGUGGCUCACAACCGUUUUUUAUUGAGAGACACAACCUUUUCAAUACACUUCUAUUUUAAUUUUUCAUAACAACGGCUGUUUUUUUGUUUCAACUUUGACUCUAUGCUAUUAAAGUAAACCAAGUAUAUUAAAAUAAACCAACUAUAUUCAUAUAUGCCUCAGUAAUUGGUACAGCCGAUUUUUAUCGAGAGAGACAACAUUUCAAAACACUUCUAUCUUCAUUUUUCAUACCAACGAAUAUUUUUUUGUUCCGGCUUUCACUCUAUGCUAUUAAAAUAAAUCAACUACUUUA
Molecule: long non-coding RNA, 6415 nt
Filed under: Triticum aestivum (bread wheat)
Lineage: Eukaryota; Viridiplantae; Streptophyta; Magnoliopsida; Poales; Poaceae
Description: long non-coding RNA (TAES_LNC010445)
Source: RNAcentral